Tachyglossus aculeatus (Australian echidna) is the source of this 442-nucleotide long non-coding RNA. RefSeq lists it as uncharacterized. The transcript has 4 exons. The record is from RefSeq and is a predicted model, not a curated record. NCBI's taxonomy places the organism in Eukaryota, Metazoa, Chordata, Mammalia, Monotremata, Tachyglossidae.
AGGACCAAAGCUCAGCUGUUAUUCCUGACAGGAUGCUCCAUCAUCAUUCAUCAUAAGGCAGGAUAAAAACAAUCCACUACCCACUUAGCAUCCAGGGUUUCAGAAGAAUCACUAAGUUCCUGAGUCACAAAUCUGAGCCAGGUGUCCCUUCGAUUCCUGCAGCCAGAUUCAGCGCAGUGCACCUGGGUAGGGUCAGAUUGGGCCCAGAAAAGAAUGCACCAGGAAGCUACCCCCUGCAACUCUGAAGAAAUCCAAUCAGACAAUCACAGUAAGGAAGAUACACUUUGGCAAAGAAGAAUAGAAGGUCAAAUGAACCACAGUCCCCUGCCUGCUGCCCCGAGUGCAGAAAAUGAAACGGCAAGGUUUCAUUGUUGCAGAAUCAGUAAAUAAAGCCAAAAGCUGCUGUAGUGCCUUGUGCAUCAAUUGAUGAAGUAGUUCUUGG